GCGUUGUUAGCUCAAUUGGUAGAGCAGUGGUCUCCAAAACCAAAGGUUGGAGGUUCGAGUCCUCCACGACGCG
RNAcentral lists this transfer RNA (73 nucleotides) under Candidatus Sericytochromatia bacterium. It matches the Rfam family "tRNA". Rfam says of the family: Transfer RNA (tRNA) molecules are approximately 80 nucleotides in length. Their secondary structure includes four short double-helical elements and three loops (D, anti-codon, and T loops). Further hydrogen bonds mediate the characteristic L-shaped molecular structure. tRNAs have two regions of fundamental functional importance: the anti-codon, which is responsible for specific mRNA codon recognition, and the 3' end, to which the tRNAs corresponding amino acid is attached (by aminoacyl-tRNA synthetases). tRNAs cope with the degeneracy of the genetic code in two manners: having more than one tRNA (with a specific anti-codon) for a particular amino acid; and 'wobble' base-pairing, i.e. permitting non-standard base-pairing at the 3rd anti-codon position. The record is from Rfam by way of RNAcentral. Lineage: Bacteria; Bacillati; Candidatus Sericytochromatia.